UGGGGAAAUUUACAAAACAUAGAAGCUUAUUUUCUUCAUUUGUUCUUCUUUUUGUCCUGAUGUGUGCUUCCUGUGAGUUUAUUAACACUCUAAUGAUUGGAUUUAUUUCAUUAUCAAACUGUAUCUGUUGGGAUUUUUUGUCAAUGAGUAUAAAGGAGGAGAACAUUUGCAGGAUAAGCCAUCUUGAUGACCUCACCUAUCCGUCUCGUUGAUGGAAUCUCCGAACCCUGGUGUGUCGAUGAUUACUCACCCUGUCACAGUGACCAGAUGGCCUUUUUCUUGGCUGAGGUCAGUGGCUACAGAGAGGCCUUGUCCUGCAUUGGGAGGGAGAGACACCAGCGCCACCAUGUGGGGACGCUUUGUGAGUGAAGAAGCUGACUUCGCAGCGGAUACCGCACCCGGACAGAAGCAAUGGCCGCUGCAGAACAAACAAAUCAAGAGAGAUGUCUUCUAGCUUAUACUCUCCCCAUGCAGCA
Long non-coding RNA from Eleginops maclovinus (Patagonian blennie), 476 nucleotides. RefSeq lists it as uncharacterized. NCBI's taxonomy places the organism in Eukaryota, Metazoa, Chordata, Actinopteri, Perciformes, Eleginopidae. The record is from RefSeq and is a predicted model, not a curated record. The transcript has 3 exons.